This 67-nucleotide transfer RNA is filed under the name Rhodnius prolixus. RNAcentral describes it as "tRNA-Ile". The record is from RNAcentral. Lineage: Eukaryota; Metazoa; Arthropoda; Insecta; Hemiptera; Reduviidae.
GAUAGGGUGCCUGAAUAAAAAGGAUUAUUUUGAUAGAAUAAAACAUGUAUGCACUGUACCCCUAUUA